RNAcentral lists this long non-coding RNA (457 nucleotides) under Homo sapiens (human). RNAcentral's name for it is "HSALNT0139919". Lineage: Eukaryota; Metazoa; Chordata; Mammalia; Primates; Hominidae. The record is from RNAcentral.
CAGCGGCGGGCUGAAGUUCUCCUCAAGUGCCGCCAAAGUGGGAGCCCAGGCAGAGGAGGCGCCGAGAGCGAGCCAAGGCUGUGAGGACUGCCAGCACGCUGUCACCUCUCAAGAGUAUGAGAGAAAAGGACUUCCAAGAACCCAUUUCCACAGUUAUUGAAUAAGAGUUGAUAGAGCUCCAUACAGAUUAGAACAGAUCCAGGACCAGACACAGUGGCACACACGUACAAUCCCAGCACUUUCGGAGGCAGAGGUGGGUGAUCACUUGAUCGAGACCAGCUUGGGCAACAUGGUAAGACCCCAUCUCUACAGAAAAUUUAAAAAUAAGCUGGUUGUGGUGGCAUGAGUUUGUAGUCCCAGCUACUUGGGAGGCUAAAUAAGGAGGAUCCCUUGAGCCUGGGAGGUCGAGGCUGUAGUGAGCUGUAAUCAUGCCACUGCAUGCCAGCCUGAGUGACAG